GAAGCCCGCACCCUGGGAAUUAAAUUCAGGCACCAGAACCGGAAGAACCUUCACCUGGUCUGACCUCAUUUUACAGGUGACACUGAGGGCCCAGAAGCAGACACAAGCUGUCAUCCUUUAGCCAUCAAACCGCAUCAGGAACACACAUCUCCUGCAUGUUUGAGAACUUCACCCCCCACCUCACAAUCUGUGGUCUAGAAGACCUUCUGGUGUCAAAACUUACCCAUCUUGGGCUCCAUGUACCUCCACCCAUCUGCUCUUAGCUCUCACAUGGUCACCAUGGGAAUUCUUUCAAAACAACCACAGCUGAAGGCAUUCUUCCUUCUCUUCACCUCCUGGAGUGCCUUACUUAACCUAACGCGAGGGUUUUCCACCCUCAGCUACCUCAGAAAUGCGCCAACAGCCUCCUCUCCCUGCCUGCUGCUCCCUGGGGCCACUUGUCCAGGUCAGGCAGAUCCAGAGAGACUAAGCCUAUGAGCCGGGCCCCUGGCCCGUGGACAUUAAUCCUGUGAGCAGAAGGGGCCUUGGGAAGGGUCCCCUGCUCUGCCUGUCCCUCAGGUCCUGCUGGCAUCCAUGCUCUGGCUCUUUAUGAGGACUGUGGUUGUCAAGGAGUCCAGAAACCUUAAGGAUUCAACAUGGCAACCAAGGGGAAAAGAGGAUGAGAAGGAACACGUACGUUCUGUCAUGUUUGGGACGGUUCUGGAAGGCACGCAAGGGCACAGCGGCUUUAAAAGGGGAAAUGACUUGCUGAAGAGGUCAAGGGAGACGAGAGACGAGAAAUCUUUUGAGGGCAACAGCAUGGAAGCUCCUUGAUAGCCUGAGGCAGGAAGUUGAGAAUAAGACAGGAGCUGCAGGCUUCCUGAGGAAGGGGGUUGGAAAGAGCCGCAGAGUGAGCAGGUCUGCAGGCCAGAGAUCUGGAACGGGAUCCCGACCUUCUCCUAGCUGGGCUUUCGUGGGCAGCACCGCCACCCAUCAGUCUGAGCUUCUUCUUGGGGACUCCGUGUCUCACCUUUGUCAUCUCGGCACAGAUGGCCUAAUUCCACAUAACCACCAAUGAACUGGAGCAGCUUGGAAAGUUUUCAUCAUUGGCAGAGAAGUACCAAGAGGUAAAUGGCUCUGAUCAUGUCCCCCUGAAGACU
Molecule: long non-coding RNA, 1139 nt
Organism: Sus scrofa (pig)
Lineage: Eukaryota; Metazoa; Chordata; Mammalia; Artiodactyla; Suidae
Source: RefSeq, a predicted model, not a curated record